UACGUAGGGUGCGAGCGUUAAUCGGAAUUACUGGGCGUAAAGCGUGCGCAGGCGGUUUUGUAAGCCAGAUGUGAAAUCCCCGGGCUUAACCUGGGAAUGGCAUUUGGGACUGCAAGGCUUGAGUGCGGCAGAGGAGACUGGAAUUCCUGGUGUAGCAGUGAAAUGCGUAGAUAUCAGGAGGAACACCGAUGGCGAAGGCAGGUCUCUGGGCUGACACUGACGCGCAUGCACGAAAGCGUGGGGAGCAAACAGG
Molecule: ribosomal RNA, 253 nt
Filed under: uncultured bacterium
Lineage: Bacteria
Description: partial 16S ribosomal RNA
Rfam family: Bacterial small subunit ribosomal RNA
Source: RNAcentral